This is a long non-coding RNA of Apis dorsata (giant honeybee), 917 nucleotides long. RefSeq lists it as uncharacterized. Lineage: Eukaryota; Metazoa; Arthropoda; Insecta; Hymenoptera; Apidae. The transcript is spliced from 2 exons. The record is from RefSeq and is a predicted model, not a curated record.
AUUGUAUUUAAAUUUAAAUUUGAUUCAAACAAAUCAUUUAUUUUCGUUAUAAAAUAUGUCAAUAUCACCAAAUAUCGGAUACGAUUCAAAUAUAUCGAAAUAAUGUACCGCCAUUGCUUUGCUGUUCGCAGACGAGUUCAUUAUAACCUGCUCGUAGUUUGUUGAAAUGUCCACACUGCUGGCGAUCAUGUUUCGCGAGUUGUCCGUGAACAGCGUCCGUGUGGACGCGGCAUAAGGUAUUCAUCCGAUGCAGUAUCUAAUUUCGCAGCACUGUCCUUGUUUAACCUAUUGUCAAUGAGCUAGUCGUGUAGAUGUCGUAUAAGGCUAUUUAUUUUUUUAUGAUUUAUCAGCAACUUCAGUUCGAUUAAAAUUAUCGAAGAUUCGAAAGACAAACAAAUCGAUCGAAGAUAUACGAAUUGAAAUUGCAAUUCUAAAUUUCACAAGAAUCGCUUUCUGGUUAUAUGUAUACAAUCGAUAUCCAUAUUCACGAAUCGUCAUGCGAAAGAAGGUUAAGUCGUACACACUUUGAAACUAUACUAUAAGACAUACGAAAAGUGGCACACAAGUAAAGAGGUCAUAUACUUAUAUGCAUCUAAAUGAUAAAUGCAUUUGUAUUUAUCGGUCUACCAAUAUGUGAAACGAACAAUAUCAGUCAAGCAAAAUAAUUUAAUCGUAAUUAAAAUCAAUUGAUUAUCUAUUAAUGAGUUACUUAUAAAUAGAAUGUUAUCAAAAAAUUAAUUAACAGGGAUAAUAAUAUAUAUCUAAAUAGAAAACAAAAAUAUGAAAUAUAAUGAAAAUUCAUGUUUCUUAUAUAUAAUAUAUAUAAUGUUCCACUAUUUAAAAUGUUAAAUUAUGUUAAUAACAAUCGUUAAAUCUUUGUAUUUCAAGCAUUAUUUAUGAUGUUCAGAGAAAUUAUA